RNAcentral lists this ribosomal RNA (506 nucleotides) under uncultured bacterium. Its description in RNAcentral is "partial 16S ribosomal RNA". It matches the Rfam family "Bacterial small subunit ribosomal RNA", at positions 30 to 523 of the family's 1533-position model. The record is from RNAcentral.
AUUGAACGCUGGCGGCAGGCCUAACACAUGCAAGUCGAACGGUAACAGGAAACAGCUUGCUGUUUCGCUGACGAGUGGCGGACGGGUGAGUAAUGUCUGGGAAACUGCCUGAUGGAGGGGGAUAACUACUGGAAACGGUAGCUAAUACCGCAUAACGUCGCAAGACCAAAGAGGGGGACCUUCGGGCCUCUUGCCAUCGGAUGUGCCCAGAUGGGAUUAGCUAGUAGGUGGGGUAACGGCUCACCUAGGCGACGAUCCCUAGCUGGUCUGAGAGGAUGACCAGCCACACUGGAACUGAGACACGGUCCAGACUACUACGGGAGUCAGCAGUGGGGAAUAUUGCACAAUGGGCGCAAGCCUGAUGCAGCCAUGCCGCGUGUAUGAAGAAGGCCUUCGGGUUGUAAAGUACUUUCAGCGGGGAGGAAGGGAGUAAAGUUAAUACCUUUGCUCAUUGACGUUACCCGCAGAAGAAGCACCGGCUAACUCCGUGCCAGCAGCCGCGGUAA